UGGAAGUGCAUCCUCGGCCUCUGCCAAGCUUUCAGACACAACCCUGGCCAACAUCUUAUCUGCAACUUCCUAAGAGGCUCUGAGCCAGAGGCACCCAGCUAAGCCACUUCCAGAUUCCUGACUCUCAGAAACUGGAGCUUUCCCCGAAGCCACAAAGUUCUCCCAGCUGUUGCAUAGGACAGCCUGGAGGUAUGGGGAAAUCAACGCUUCCGAGCACAAACCUCAACAAGUGGGGGCUGGGAGCCAGAGAAUACAUGCCUCGGACACGCAUCCUUUGAAGAGAGAGAGCAUUCUGCAUCCCAUUCUGCAUGAUUUCUCGGUGGGUCCCCAGUAGGACUGAGCCCCAUUUACUCAUCCUUAUUGACUUUUUCUCCUUCUCUGUCUUACUCUCCUCUCUCCUUCACUCCUGAUUCCUGGGGUGGUCUUCAAAAUGAACUACUUGCGCCUGUAUCCUUGUCUUAGGUUCUGCUUUUGAGGGAAGUCAAACUAACACAGGAGCUCAGAGAGUCCCUAGGAGAGCCAGAAAACCAGGCUGGGAGGGCACGUCGCCAGAAAUGAUGCCCCAAAUCAUCUACAGGGCUGGUUCAUUGGCAGCACCUCUGCUCCCUUCAUUGGGCCACAGACAUGUCACUGCUGAUCCUGAGCACUGGACAUUACUACUAGAAACUCUGCCACUGCCCCUUGGAAACCAGACAUAGCUGCCUCUACUCUCGACAGAAUGCUUCUUCAAGCCGCUAACUUCUGAUCAAAGCCUGGAGUGAGUGUGUGCGCCUCACCGGUGGACCCUAGAUCUCACAUUUUCUUUCUAGCUGUAAGGAAUGUUGGAAAGAGGGGUGGCUUGACUGAUAGGAAUAUUUUUCGAGCUCCUUGUAUACGUUGCCGAAAAGAUUAUACCAGUUACUCUCCAUCCAGCACUCACUGACCCCACAUCAUUUCUGGUGGCCCGUACAGGGACUUACUUCAUCGGCUUGUGAGCUCGAGUUCUGGUAAGUGCCCCUUUUCCUUGUGCCUUUCUCUUUUUCGAGGAUGGAUCUAAAUUCACUUCUCCAUUGGAAACUUUCUUGGAUGGCUGUAUGAAUUCAUGUUUGCUGCCCAUGGCUACUCUAUGGGGUAAAUCGUGGCAUUCAGCUUGAAGAGAAUCAGUACCUUAAGCCUCAGGGUGAUGGAGAAUGAAUUAAUCCAUUCCUUCCUGACUCUAUCUCUAAUAGACAAAUUUUACGUGGGCGCAGGUCUACCACUUAAGUCAUUAGGAUGGUCGCCAAUCUCCAAGACUCCUGUGGAAGGUUUCUUUUCCUAAGGCUGGAUUGGAAUCCCUCCCAUGGCACCUGACCAUGCUCUGAACUGAGGGAAAGUCCCAAUCGGGACUCCAGUUCAAGGAAAAUACCAAACUCUAACCUUUGGUGGAGUAUGGGAACCCCUUCUUGGGAGAAUGGCUCCAGGAUGCAAUUGGGUAGAAUGUCCCCCAGACUGGCAGAAAAUUCCUCACUGUUUUUCUCUAUCCUUUAUCCUGGGGACCAUUCACCAGGCACCUAUUACUGCCAGGCAUAAUAGGGAAGAUGUUCAAGGGAUGCCCCCAUCAUCCCUUGCUACAGGAACCCCAUUGGGGGGAUUUUCAAGGUAAUGGCUCCUUUUCUUUCAUCUCUCUUAAAGUUUUCCUUUUCUCUCAGGGACCAUUCACCAGGCACCUGUUAUUGCCAGGCAUAACAGGGAAGGUAUACAAGGGAUGCAAUGCCGGGGGAUGCCCCCAUCACCCCUUGCUAUAGGAACCCCACAGUAGGAACAAUGGCAGGAUGCUGCCCUAGGUUCAGGGGGGAUUUUUCAAGGUAAUGGACCUGUUUCUUUCAUCUCUCUUAGAGUUACAAUGGCCAUUUUUGUCUCCUUUUGAGCUUUGCAACCGGGAAACAAAGAAAUCUUUAAAGAGUCAAAGGCUCCACCCCUGGGAGCCCCAACUUUGGGUUUCUGGGCCUGACCACCCCAGCGACCCUAAGUGGGGGUGCCCUCUCUUGACGGUUAACUCAUUGAGUAUUUUAGUCACCUACUGAGUCAGUUAUGAGGGUAGGAGACCUGUGAUUUAUUCUGUGAACUGUCGUGCUAGGGUAGUGUGUCCCAGCACGGGAACUGUUGUGUGACUCUUAUCUUGAUAACCCUCUGGAAGAGGCCAUGAGGGCGAGGUCUGAUCUCUUCUUUUCCUUUCUUUGUCUGUCUUCUUCAUCACCUGCUUUGUUGUCACCAAGUCGAGGUUAAGUUCAGGCUGGACCUGAGCAGAACCUUGACCUUCUGUAAAAUUGAAAAAAUAAGCCUUUUGCCAGGGAUUUAACUCUCAACCCUGACGCUGGGAGCCCCGGCCUCCAGCCAGUUCCAGACCUUUGUGUCCUGCUUCCCUACCUCAACUGUGCUGGCUCGGAGACAAAGUGCCCAGGCUGAGCGGGACUUGACUAAAUCUUAUAACUAUGUCAACACCGGCAAUCAGCCUCUGCACACCCGCAAUUGGCCUCUGCACCCUUUCUCCAGCUGCUGUCAGUCAGACACAGGCUUUACUGUCACAGGGAAGGCCCCCUAAGUAUCCCCAGAGACCCACCCUGCGGAUGCAUUCUAACUCCAUCUGGGAGAAAAUUUGAGGGGUUUCUCUGUGCCUUUAUGAUGUAGUUGGACAGGUAGAUCAGCCUAGAACGUCAUUCAAGUUACAAUCCAGUUUCUGGGAAAUCAAGAGCAACUGUCCUUAGAAAAUCCUUGCAAGACUGGAAAUACAGCUCUAGAGGCAGUUCAGAUUCCACCUAGUUCCUUUAUCACAAAAAGGAUUAUCAUCUCCCCUCUCCAG
Long non-coding RNA from Equus caballus (horse), 2818 nucleotides. NCBI's taxonomy places the organism in Eukaryota, Metazoa, Chordata, Mammalia, Perissodactyla, Equidae. The record is from Ensembl.